RNAcentral lists this ribosomal RNA (253 nucleotides) under uncultured bacterium. RNAcentral's name for it is "partial 16S ribosomal RNA". It matches the Rfam family "Bacterial small subunit ribosomal RNA", at positions 524 to 776 of the family's 1533-position model. The record is from RNAcentral.
UACGUAGGGGGCAAGCGUUGUCCGGAUUUAUUGGGCGUAAAGAGCGUGUAGGCGGCUUUGCAAGUCCGUUGUGAAAACUCGAGGCUCAACCUCGAGACGCCGGUGGAAACUGCAAAGCUAGAGUCCGGAAGAGGCGAGUGGAAUUCCUGGUGUAGCGGUGGAAUGCGCAGAUAUCAGGAGGAACACCAAUAGCGAAGGCAGCUCGCUGGGACGGUACUGACGCUGAGGCGCGAAAGCGUGGGGAGCGAACAGG